Molecule: unclassified non-coding RNA, 234 nt
Filed under: plant metagenome
Description: partial contains small subunit ribosomal RNA, internal transcribed spacer 1, and 5.8S ribosomal RNA
Source: RNAcentral
UUUCCGUAGGUGAACCUGCGGAAGGAUCAUUAAAGUUAUAGUCCCCCGGCCCUCUGGGCUGGGGUCUUCUAUACCACCCUUUGUUUAUUACACCUUCGUUGCUUUGGCAGGCCUGCCCUCGGGCUGCUGGCUCCGGUCGGCUCGCGUCUGCCAGAGGACCUAAACUCUGUUUGUAUAUGAAGUCUGAGUACUAUAUAAUAGUUAAAACUUUCAACAACGGAUCUCUUGGUUCUG